GAUGGUCUAGCUCAGUGGUAGAGCGCCUGCUUAGCAUGUAAGAAGUCCUGGGUUCAGUCCCCAGUACUUCCA
RNAcentral lists this transfer RNA (72 nucleotides) under Camelus dromedarius (Arabian camel). It matches the Rfam family "tRNA". From Rfam's summary of the family: Transfer RNA (tRNA) molecules are approximately 80 nucleotides in length. Their secondary structure includes four short double-helical elements and three loops (D, anti-codon, and T loops). Further hydrogen bonds mediate the characteristic L-shaped molecular structure. tRNAs have two regions of fundamental functional importance: the anti-codon, which is responsible for specific mRNA codon recognition, and the 3' end, to which the tRNAs corresponding amino acid is attached (by aminoacyl-tRNA synthetases). tRNAs cope with the degeneracy of the genetic code in two manners: having more than one tRNA (with a specific anti-codon) for a particular amino acid; and 'wobble' base-pairing, i.e. permitting non-standard base-pairing at the 3rd anti-codon position. RNAcentral also lists the same sequence under 1 other name. Lineage: Eukaryota; Metazoa; Chordata; Mammalia; Artiodactyla; Camelidae. The record is from Rfam by way of RNAcentral.